UGCUCGACGUCGAGCUCUUUUGGGACUCCGC
Molecule: small RNA, 31 nt
Filed under: Bombyx mori (domestic silkworm)
Lineage: Eukaryota; Metazoa; Arthropoda; Insecta; Lepidoptera; Bombycidae
Description: piRNA piR-bmo-1269017
Source: RNAcentral